Molecule: non-coding RNA, 72 nt
Organism: Parelaphostrongylus tenuis
Lineage: Eukaryota; Metazoa; Nematoda; Chromadorea; Rhabditida; Metastrongylidae
Source: the annotation of a GenBank genome assembly
GCCUUGGUGGUGUAGUGCUAGCACGCGUCUCCCCAUAUGGGUGAAACGCGGGUUUGAUUCCCGACUAAGGCC